GUGCUUAGCCUGAGGACAACUCAGAGUCCAGCAAGGAGGGCUGGGAUUCACACUGAGCACGUGUGUCUGCCCAGGCUUGGGAUGUUUUCUGGGAUGGACUACCUGAAAUUCAUCACGUCCACAUCCGUGUGUGUGAAAGUGCAUGACAAGAACAUUGGAUGAUGUCACAUAUCUUCCUCUACAAAUAUACAUGCUGUUAUAUGAGA
Long non-coding RNA from Mus musculus (house mouse), 206 nucleotides. RefSeq annotates it as predicted gene, 30781. The record is from RefSeq and is a predicted model, not a curated record. The transcript has 2 exons. Lineage: Eukaryota; Metazoa; Chordata; Mammalia; Rodentia; Muridae.